Molecule: transfer RNA, 65 nt
Filed under: Perissonemia borneenis
Lineage: Eukaryota; Metazoa; Arthropoda; Insecta; Hemiptera; Tingidae
Description: tRNA-Asn
Source: RNAcentral
UUAAUUGAAGCCAAAUUAGAGGCAACUUAUUGUUAAUAAGUUAAUUGAUAAUUUAUCCAAUUAAA